This 77-nucleotide transfer RNA is filed under the name Ditibartonella apihabitans. RNAcentral's name for it is "Bartonella apihabitans tRNA-Cys". It matches the Rfam family "tRNA". From Rfam's summary of the family: Transfer RNA (tRNA) molecules are approximately 80 nucleotides in length. Their secondary structure includes four short double-helical elements and three loops (D, anti-codon, and T loops). Further hydrogen bonds mediate the characteristic L-shaped molecular structure. tRNAs have two regions of fundamental functional importance: the anti-codon, which is responsible for specific mRNA codon recognition, and the 3' end, to which the tRNAs corresponding amino acid is attached (by aminoacyl-tRNA synthetases). tRNAs cope with the degeneracy of the genetic code in two manners: having more than one tRNA (with a specific anti-codon) for a particular amino acid; and 'wobble' base-pairing, i.e. permitting non-standard base-pairing at the 3rd anti-codon position. The record is from RNAcentral. Lineage: Bacteria; Pseudomonadati; Pseudomonadota; Alphaproteobacteria; Hyphomicrobiales; Bartonellaceae.
GCACCCGUAGCUCAGCUGGAUAGAGCACCAGACUACAAAUCUGGGGGUCAGGAGUUCGAAUCUCUUCGGGUGCGCCA